Molecule: long non-coding RNA, 3516 nt
Filed under: Cucumis sativus (cucumber)
Lineage: Eukaryota; Viridiplantae; Streptophyta; Magnoliopsida; Cucurbitales; Cucurbitaceae
Description: long non-coding RNA (CSAT_LNC000131)
Source: RNAcentral
AAAGUAUUACUACAUACACAAUAUGGGUAGAGCAGAACCAAUUAAGGAUGUGAAUGACUCAGAAGUGAAAUUUGCUGCAGGGCAAGCAGUUAAAAUCCAUAACGAUCAAAAACACGAUACAUUGGUUUUCAUUCGUGUAGUGAAUGGUCUGAAGCAGGAAGUUGAUACUGCCAAGCUGUAUUCUCUUCUGAUAGAAGCUACAAAUGGUGAUGGAACUCAUUGGGGAUAUAUCGCUAAGAUUAAGUUGUGGCCUAAGGCCCCAAGUCAUUAUGAUCCAUAUUCCCAUACCUUUGAGCUCAUAUCUUGGGAAGAUCCCCUCAAAUUCUGGAACUAAGUAUUCCAAUGUUAUCUUUUUACAUCUUUACAUCUUUACAUCUUUACAUCAUAAUAAUAUGUCCUUCUCUAUAUAUAGAGAGAGGGCAUUAUUGUCUUCCAACUACUAUAUGAAAAUGGUAUAGCCUUGAUUAAAUAGUGAUACACAUAAUCUAUUUCUAUAUAGUAUAUGUGUGUCCAUAUAUAUAUGUUUAACUUUUUCUCUUCUCUCUCCCAUCUAUGUUCUAUGUAUGUAAAGAGUUUAAAUAAGACUAAAUCAUUAAAUAGUCAAUUUUACUUUAUAAUUUGUCGUUUACUGUUUUAAACUGAUUAUUUCGUUUUAUUUAUGACAUGGGUAACUUAAGGUGUGUUUGGAUUAUCUUUUAAAGUGUUUAAAUUUGAAAAAAAAAAUUAAAAAUUUGAGGUGUUUGGUAACUUUUCAAAAUGUAUUUUUAAAAAAUGAGAUUGAAAAAUAAUUCAUUUUAAAGAAAAUGCUCAAAACCAAAUUUUGAGAAAACUAUGUAUAUAAACUCUUAUAAAAGGAUAGAACCAAACAUGUAAAUAUUUAAAUUUUAAACUCAUUUUAAGGAAAGUGUUUAAAAAUAAUGUAUUCUUGAAAAAUAUUUUUUUUCCAUAGGUAAACCAAACGCACUCUUAAUCUUAAUUUUAACUUAAUGAAUAAGAUGUAAUUUCGAGGGUAAAACGAUAACCUUGACUUAGCCGAUAUUUCGAAUAACCUGUAAAAGAUUAACUUACUAAUCAUAGUUAUUUCAAAUGGACACAAAUAUAUCUAUAGUAAAGGAACUGAAACUAAGAAAUUUUAAUGGAAUGAUCUAGUUAGUUAACGAAUGUUAAUUAGCUUAUUCUAAAAGAAUUUAGCUAGUUAAUCUCGAAUCGAUGAAGCUCGUGAUCUAUAGGUUUAAUAGGUUCCCUAAUAGCUCAUAUGGAAUAAACUUAGAACAAUAUGAUUGAAUAAUUUGAAUUGUUCAAAUUGGAAAAUGAGAGAAAAAUUGACAAGUAUAUGUGAUAUAGCAAUCAGUCACUACUAGAAAACUGAGAUUUAACAACACAAAAUAUGUGUCAUAAACGGUUUUCAUGUCACAUAUUUUGCAUCUUUGAAGUGCUUGUAAAGAUAGGACAUUUACUGACGCAUCCUAAAAAGUGUCAUUAAUAUUGCUUAAAACGAUAUUGAUUUAACGCCAAUAAUCAAUUUCUCUUGACAUUUACCACCUAUGACUAUUAAUUGGAUUAUGAAACAAUGAAAUUGUCAUUGUUAGUCUCAAAUGAUCAAAUAUUGCGUCUAUUUUCUAUAUUAGGGCUACAGGUUUAAUUUGAGAGAGAGAGGGAAGGUUGAGUUUGAGUUGAGAGAAGAGAGAAAUGUCAUUCACUGGAGAAUUCUGGGCAAGAUGCAUUCAUAGAGGGCUAUAGAACUCGUUUCUUGGAUUUUUUUUUUUAAAAAAAUUGAGGUAUGAAAGUUAAGACAUUUUCCAGCAACUUUGUACAAGAAAGUAUUUUCAUUUGAGUUUUUCAUUUUAAGAUAUUGGCUUAUAAAUUAUAGUUAAGGUUUUAGCCAAAAAUGAGUUUUUGGACAGUAGAGGUUGUUAGUCGAAUGUCAGAGGUUGUUAGACAAGAUGGACAUGUGUUUUGGGUUAAAAGAGGUUAGCGUUGCGUUUAGGCUGGUGUUUGGCACACAGUCUGUGUACAACGGGCGUGCAGCUAAGGAAGCACACAAGGAAGGCUAUGUGAGACGCUGACACACGACCAGGUGAGGUACCCACGUGUUUAUGGGUGAGGUUAACACGCGGGCAUGCCUAGCGCGAACGAAUCGAAACUCCAGUUUCUAUAGUUUUAAAUCAAGAUCCACGAUCUACUUAAAAAAUUUGGCCAAAGUUAUAGGAAGCCUUAGAAACCAAAAUAAUUUUAGCACCACAUUUCAUCCAUAGACAGUGGCCAAUCUAAAAGAACUAUUCAGGCAUUAGAGGACAUGUUAAGACCUUGUGUUCUAUAGUUCAAAGGGAGCUAGGAUGAUUGAUUGUCCUUGAUUGAGUUUGUCUAUAACAACAACCCCUUUUAAGGCGUUGUAUGGGAGGCGUUGUAGAACUUCAAUACGCUAGAAAGAAGUGGGCGAGAGGAAGCUCUACAGUCUAGAGUUAGUCUAGGCCAUAACGAAAAACAUCAAAUUAAUUAGAUAAAAUUUAAAAAAUUUCCGCGAUAAGUAGAAGUGCUAUGUGGAUAAUUGUCGUAAAGCAUUGGAAUUCAAGGUUGGGGAUAAAGUUUUUCUAAAAUUAUCACCUUGGAAGGAUGUGAUCAGGUUAUAUUAGUCCACGUUAUAUUAGUCCUUAUGAGAUUCUAGCAAGCGUAGGACCAAUGACUUAUAAGCUAAGAUUGCCUGCAAAACUAUCUAGGAUUCAUAAUUUCUUUCACAUCUCCAUGUUGAGGAAGUAUGUAUCAAACUACUCGCACAUACUCUAAACUUUUGAAGUAAAAUAAAACUUGAACUACGAAGAAAGGCCUUUGUGUAUAAUGGACAAAAAGGAACAAGUCUUGAGAACAAAGGUGAUCCCCAUGGUCAAAAUUUUGCGAGACAACCAUGGCGUUGAAGAAUCUACUUGAGAAAGUGGGGAGCUAAUAAAAACCAAGUACCCACAACUUUUCGUACAAACUCACUGAAUUUCAAAGACGAAAUUUCAAUAAGGAGGUAGUACUUGUGAGACCAUAAACGUGUUUAGAUCUAUAUGAUGAGAUUAAAGCGAAAGAAACAAGUAAUGCAAUGAGAUGGGUACUAAUAAAGAACUCACGUGUUAUGAUGAGGUACGCGAUGAAAAAACGAUAUUGGGAUCUCCAAAACCUUUUAUAAAGACCUUGCUUGUUUAUUCUUUCCUCGCAUUGUGAUCUCCAAAACGUCAAGUAUCAAAACGCUCUCUUUUAUAAAAACUUCUUUUUUCAAAAUCCUUCACUUAGAUUUUUCUUUCUCAAAAUGACCCUUCUACUCAGGCACAAGUCUCACAUUCUAGGUUCUUUAGUUUUUUAAAAUAGGUUUGAGAGGUCCUUUAAUUAAUUUUUAUUUUAUUUUUAGUACUAGAAAGGCACCCAAGUUUUAGAAGGGUGUGGGAUAAACAAAUCUGGAUUUGUUGGUGUUUCUACGUCACUCGGCUUGGCAAGGAAUGGAGAGGAAUAAAAUAGUAAUAUACUUUUAUUAAAUAU